RNAcentral lists this unclassified non-coding RNA (332 nucleotides) under soil metagenome. RNAcentral's name for it is "partial contains 5.8S ribosomal RNA, internal transcribed spacer 2, and large subunit ribosomal RNA". The stretch from base 1 to 120 matches the Rfam family "5.8S ribosomal RNA", at positions 35 to 154 of the family's 154-position model. The record is from RNAcentral.
GAUGAAGAACGUAUCAAAAUGCGAUAAGUAAUGUGAAUUGCAGAAUUCAGUGAAUCAUCGAAUCUUUGAACGCACAUUGCGCCCGCCAGUAUUCUGGCGGGCAUGCCUGUUCGAGCGUCAUUUCAACCCUCAAGCACAGCUUGGUGUUGGGACUCGCGUUAAUUCGCGUUCCCCAAAUUGAUUGGCGGUCACGUCGAGCUUCCAUAGCGUAGUAGUAAAACCCUCGUUACUGGUAAUCGUCGCGGCCACGCCGUUAAACCCCAACUUCUGAAUGUUGACCUCGGAUCAGGUAGGAAUACCCGCUGAACUUAAGCAUAUCAAUAAGCGGAGGA